CCCACCCCAACUCCAUCCCUUUCCCUUCCCAAGGACAGCCAGCCCUGGGCCCAGCCAGGCCAGGCCGGAGGGCUUCACACUGUCUAGGAAUGCUGGGACACAAACAAUGGCACCAGGAGUUGCAAGUAAAAGAAGCUUUGCACUCCCCAGCAGAUGAGCCCAGAAUUCAGGUGGCCAAUAUCUGGAGGGAGGAAUAUGACCACCCAAAUGUUCCACUUUUGCUCCACUUCACUGUUCCAGGGGUUUAUUCCCAGCUUUCCGUAUUGCAGAGACACCCAAACCCAACAAAAAUAUGAUCUGCCUCAAAACUUCCCUGAUCUUGGCAGUUCCUGACAUUUCAAAAUCUCCUUAAUGGAAAUAUCAUGGGGCAGGUCAUUCUGAAAUACUCUCCCACAGAGCAGUUAAAACUAAUCAUGCUUGAUUUGGCAGAACUAAUUGUGAGCCAAAGGUCCAGUGGGUCUCAUCCCUUUUUCUCCAUCAGCUAAACUAUUUCUUCAAGUCUCAUCUCUCCAAUAUGUUCAAAGAAGCUUUGCAGUCUGCAUUAGAUGCCCCCAGUAUUCAGUGGGCCAAUAUGAUCAUUGUAGCUGUAGGGUGUAAAUUGGCCAUGCAGAGUUCUCCUUCAUUGUGGCAGUGCUUUAUUCCUGCUUGCUUUCCUGCAGACACACCCAAACCCAACGUUACAAAACCGGCCUCAAAACAAUUCUCAUUUUGACUGUCCCUGAAAAUUCAAAGCUAUACUAAAAGCAUUUUUUUAUUUUUCCCUUUAUUAUUGGAUCUGUUCAAACAUGCUGUAGACUGAAAAAAACCCAGACAAACCCCGGCAUCUCACACCCUUGGCCCACCAGGGCCUGGGCCUCGACACUUUCCGGUGUCGGAGAGACUGAGAAGAACCUGAGCAAGCUGAGCUACACCACACGAAAAGGACUUUUUUUCCUGGAUUUGCCAUCUCAUCGAACAGCAAAAGGUUUUAUUGUUUAAUAUUAUUCCAUUUCUGUUAAAUAAACAGUUUUUUCCACUUCUCUCCA
RNAcentral lists this long non-coding RNA (1025 nucleotides) under Cyanistes caeruleus (blue tit). Its description in RNAcentral is "lncRNA (ENSCCEG00000001811.1)". Lineage: Eukaryota; Metazoa; Chordata; Aves; Passeriformes; Paridae. The record is from RNAcentral.